GGGGGGGGGGGAGGUGGGUACGCUGGUGGUGGUGGGGGAGGGGACUUGUACUUGUAGGGUGGUGGUGGAGGAGACUUGUACUUGUAUGGCUUCUUGGGUGGUGGAGGAGGAGAGUACACUGGUGGUGGUGGGGGAGGGGACUUGUACUUGUAGGGUGGUGGAGGAGGAGACUUGUACUUGUAGGGCUUCUUGGGUGGUGGAGGAGGAGAGUACACUGGUGGUGGUGGGGGAGGGGACUUGUACUUGUAGGGUGGUGGUGGAGGAGACUUGUACUUGUAUGGCUUCUUGGGUGGUGGAGGAGGAGAGUACACUGGUGGUGGUGGGGGAGGGGACUUGUACUUGUAGGGUGGUGGUGGAGGAGACUUGUACUUGUAUGGCUUCUUGGGUGGUGGAGGAGGAGAGUACACUGGUGGUGGUGGGGGAGGGGACUUGUACUUGUAGGGUGGUGGUGGAGGAGACUUGUACUUGUAUGGCUUCUUGGGUGGUGGAGGAGGAGAGUACACUGGUGGUGGUGGGGGAGGGGACUUGUACUUGUAGGGUGGUGGUGGAGGAGACUUGUACUUGUAUGGCUUCUUGGGUGGUGGAGGAGGAGAGUACACUGGUGGUGGUGGGGGAGGGGACUUGUACUUAUAAGGUGGUGGUGGAGGAGACUUGUACUUAUAUGGCUUCUUGUGUGGUGGUGGAGGAGAGUACACUGGAGGUGGUGGAGGAGGAGACUUGUACUUGUAUGGUUUCUUGUGGUGUGGUGGUGGUGGAGAGUGCACUGGUGGUGGGGGAGGAGAUUUGUAUUUAUAAACAGGUGGUGGAGGUGGUGGAGACUUGUACUUGUAAGGUGGUGGAGGAGGUGGAGAGUAAACUGGAGGAGGAGGGGGUGGUGAUUUGUAAUGGUAAGGUGGAGGAUGCACCGGUGGAGGUGGUGAUUUCUUGGGAGGAGGAGGAGAGUGGUAUGGGUAGUUUGCUGUGGUUUGUGAAGGGAAACUUAAAGAGACUGUGACCACUAAAAGAGUAACUAUAAGAGAGGCCAUAUUAGACCCCAUGCUUUCUAAAACCUCACUACAAAGUUGGUUUUAGUUCUGCUUC
This 1080-nucleotide long non-coding RNA is filed under the name Jatropha curcas. Its description in RNAcentral is "long non-coding RNA (JCUR_LNC000659)". Lineage: Eukaryota; Viridiplantae; Streptophyta; Magnoliopsida; Malpighiales; Euphorbiaceae. The record is from RNAcentral.